AUUCCAAGCAUCUGCUGGGCACAUUGUUACCAGGUUCCGGUGCUGCAGCCGCCCUCCAGAGGUGCUUUCUAGGUUCUUCCUGUUCCAAACAAAGAACCGAUCAAGUCAAGCACAAAAGGUAGCAAGCUUGUACAUUUAUUAAAGGCAGGAAGGAAGCCGGCUCUGCAGAGCGAGUUUGGGCAGGGGUGAGUAGGAGACGAAGCACACCCCACAGCGUGGGCACAGGCCCCUGUGGGGGCCGCGGCACCGCAGCAGCAGGCGCAGUGGCUUCUGCCUGGUGCUGCCCGCUCCCUGGGCUGAGGCCAGGCCUAGGCCAGCCUAUCCAAUUGUGCAGUUGGGAGCUGUCCCGCGAGGGUGUCCCUGGAGCUUGCAAUUAGCAGGGCACGGCACUUUCCCCGCCAGCCUGCCGCGUUCUCUCCAGCUGCCUGGCUAUGAGGUUUCCAUCAGUGACUCACAUCUGGGUUGUCUAAAGGAGCGCAGGUCAUUAGGCUGUGAAGCACAUCACCCUCGCCGUGUGUCCGAGCUCGGUCUUCCCCUCAGAAGCCUGACGUCAGCGAGGCCCUUGCUCCAGUCCUCCGCAGCACGAGCCUGUGCUCCGGCUCAACAGUGGACUUGGAUAGGGAGCUAGUUUUGCAAAAAGAAGAGAGGGCGAGGAGCACUGCUACUCCUGGCUGUCUUAGCCACGCUGCCUGGCUUCCAAGGCUGGUGCUGCCAGCGGGGCCCCCUGCCCAGUGCACGAGGCACUGUGGACUCGGUCCCAGGUACGGCGGGAGCCAUGCCUCGCAGGAUACUCUGGGGCGAGUCUUGCUUGCGCUCCCAGCUGCACAGCCCUGGCCUGGUUGCUCUCCUUGCUGGUGUGUGAACAGGCCAGAGCCUUCCAAUCCUGGAGCAGCAGCUCGAGUUUCUGUGUUCACAGUGAGGCUUUCUGGCUGACCCAGACCUGCAUUGACUUAGGAGAUAUCCUUCCAAAAGAAAAUGUUCUAUUUGUCCAGCAGUAACACUGUUUACAGAGCUGCAAGCUUUACUCUUUGAUGAUAAGGAAAGUUGAGAAACACAGAUGUUUUUCACUGGCCAGUGGUACUGUCUGGGUCAGCCUCCAGCUAGCAUAAAUAAUCGAGGAGGAACACAAUGCUCUUUGAAAUAUGAAAAAUCUUUUAAGAAAUGUAUUAUUGAUGCUAUGAAAACCAAAGACGAGAUUCAGGAAUGGAAAAUAAAGAUGGUACCUGCCAUACAGGGUGUGGUGCUGUCCACUCUGGCCAACAGACAGACAAGACCUUACAGGGAAUGAACAGCUGGUCACUGGCGCGGCACUGCUCAUGGGUCGAAUGCAGUGCUUCCAGCUCUUUCCCCAAAUGGCCUGGUAGAGAACCCUGCUUCCCAUUCACCUCGCCUCAACACGGCUGCAGGGCUUCGCCCUCAGCAUUAAUCUGUGUGUAUUUGCUAGACCGGAUCGUAAACGAAUGCAGGGAAUCUAAAUGGCCCCACCUCCGACGUGGCCCGCUGUGCACUGGGCAUGGGUCUAGAUCCCGAGGGUGCCCAGGGCUGGCCCAGCAGCCAGCAGAGAAAUCCAGGUUGUGGUGGCUUCCAUAUGACAGUUCCGCCCCUGCCUGCCUGCAGCACUUUCCACCCCAGACGCCCGGUCAGCCUCCGUGCUUCCUCUGCUUCCUCUGCUCUGGCUGGGCCCCACCAUCUGCACCCCGAGUCUGGGCUGUGGUGGAGUCUUAGCAGACGUGGCGCGACUGCGGCGUGUUUUUCUGUGCAAGGUUCGCUCUGUUCACUUCUGAUGUCCAGUGUUGCUUUUUCCAGUCAUUGGCCUAAUGAGCCCUCACUUCCCGUGGACUAACUUCUGGGUGCUUCCAGGCGGCCCACGGGGACACCCUCCUGCCGGGAGAGACAUCUGUGCACUGUUCCUUUCAGCCCUGUGCUGCCCCUGGAUGAUUUUAGUGACGGUGUCACCUGCUGCCUGGGAGGGCAGAGCCGAUCCCCUGGUGUGUCCCACAGGAGGCAUUGGGCUUCUCCUUCUCACCUUUAUUUCGACAGAGACACACUGAAUCCCCAAAGUAAGUUUUGCUGAAGGUGGAAAUCUGAUAAGGUGGCAAUAAACACUGAGACUAGGAUCAUGAAACUGAGCCCUCUUAUACUCAGUCCGGCUUCCCCAUCUUCGCUUUCAACCCAUGGGGCGGCCUUUCCUCUCGCUCUGCUCUCGAGGUCUGUUUCUGCAAGUGCAGACCUCGGCGUCCUGGGACAGGAGCUGCACCCACUCCGACCCUCAGCGCUGGUCCCUGCUGCCCGAGGGCCUCCUCUCUCCAGACCUGGAUCUCGGUGUAGCCGUGAGUUACAGGGGAAGAGACGCCUCAGGGGCCCAUCCCAGCCCGGCCAGGCCUGUCUGAGGGAUUUGCCAGGCGCCAGGCCUUCUCCGAGUGCUGGUGAUAAAAAUUUAUCUCGUUCAGAAAAGAUCAUUCUUCGGCUAAGAAAAGCCAGAUCUUGCUUGCUCCGGGCAUGGCUGGACACAAGUGACGUCGUCCGAUCCUCUCUCAUUUGACAGAGCUUCCUGUUCCGUAUCCGUCUCCAUCUCUGCCCCUCCCUCUUUUUCUUCUUUUUUCUCCUUUAUUUCCCCUUCUACUGAGUCCAUCUGCAUGGAAAAUGCCUCACAUUUUGACAAAAAUGACCACCAGCAAUUUUGGAUUUAUGUUAAAUGACAGCAAUCUCAACUCAGAGAGGAAGAUGUGAUGUCUUCCCAAUGGUCCUAGGAAGGUCCCAAAGGACACUGGAUGAGCCUGGCUCCCCACCCGGCACUGAGGGUAGAGCAUGGGAUUGCCCAGGCCGGGUGACUCCCACCCCUGUGGACAUGGCUGUGGUACUGUGGGUGGCCUGACAGCUCUUGUGUUUGUGGAGCAACAAGUUCAAGGAGAGCAGGGUUGCAGGAAGGGCAGUGGUAGGAAGAGGUGAAGUGACCCAUGUUGGCCAGUGUCACUGAGGCAGGGCCCGCAGGAGCGAAGUGUCCUUCGCCACAUGACGGACGCCACGGGGAAUUUUAGUCAGAGGAGAGAUGUGAUCCUUUGUCCUCUCCUUCAAAGCCUGCCCUGGCCGGUGUGGGUGAGGCGUGGGGAGUCACAGAACACAAGAGGUGGAAGUCUCCAUUUCUAAGAACGAAUGGGUCUCUCCCUUGGCCCGCGUUCUGCUCGAGACUCAUGUGGGUGUCCACUGCGGCCUCACACAGGGCUCCUAGCAGCAGUGCUCAUACCAGCCAAGCACAGGAACAACUCGAACGCCCACCAGCUGCUGGCUGGAGACCAAGCUGUGUUCAUCCUCCAGCAACGCCUGUACAGCACAAGAGGGAAGACUCAGCAGUAACAAUGCUGGCGCCACACGAGGGUCACAUCAGCACAACAUGAAGGAGCCUGGGCGUGCAGGACCACAGCUGUGAGACCGACUCCAUCUGUGGCAUCCGGAGAGCGCAGAGCUGUGGGUGGAGACAGAAGGUGAGCAGUCGGGUGGUCGCAGCAGAGGGCCCGUGGCGGGCGGGGAGCGCCCCACAGUGGAUUGUGGCAAUGGCUGCAUGGUGGGCUGUGCUCCCAAGGUGCUGAAUUUUAAAGUGUUUGAGUUGUCCGACAGCAUUUACAUUUUACCUCAAGACAGUUGCUUUUGAAGUGGCAUGCUCGUUUCUGGAUCGAGAAUGUGCAUCUUCCAGGCACUGGGGCCCUCCGUGGCUGCAGGCCUUGGGGACACUUGGUGGCCCCAGUUCCCAGAAUCCCCUUGCUCUGGGCUGCCCUGGCCUUGCCUUUAAAAAUCAUCCCUAUUUUAAAAUUAUGUUUCAACAUGAACAGAAAUGUUUGAUUGCAAAAAGGGCUCUAUGUAUAUCAAUGUAAAUACUUUUGUGGGCUGAUCCAACAAAAGGAACAUGACUCAUUGCAUGAUUUCUGUAGGAAGAAAAAGAUAUGAAGUCCAAGAAAUGGUUAGCAUUCAUUUUGUGCUUUACUGCUUGGAGACUGCUGUUAUUUAGCUUUUAGGGUAAACUUAUGCCUUUUAUCUACAAUGUCUUCCUAUCGGUAUUGGUUUUGGUCCUGGCCCCAGGCCCAGGGCCCCACACUUGCCAAGCCCACCACUAAGUUCCACCUCCAAUCCUUCUUUCUUUCAUAUUCUUCAGAGCAAAAGGACAGUUAGAGAUGUAGCUUAGCGAAACUAAAUUUCCCCUUCAGGAGAAAAAAUGACAAGUUCUUCAUUUUUUGUCUCCCUUGCCUGCGAAGUAUAUAAUGCUGGAAAUGAUUAGUGUAGAAUAGUCCUUUGUUAGAGUUCAUUUCUUGGUUACAAAAAUAUGAAAGAAUGAGGCUCCAAUUCCUCUCAAAUUCAGCAGCAAACAAGCAGCGCAGCUCGGCACGCUGAGCUGUGCAAUUCCCAGGCCCUUGGGAACUCUGCUGAGGCUCUGGAGGGAGGUGUGGGCCCAGCACACCCCGCAG
Molecule: long non-coding RNA, 4457 nt
Filed under: Heterocephalus glaber (naked mole-rat)
Lineage: Eukaryota; Metazoa; Chordata; Mammalia; Rodentia; Bathyergidae
Description: lncRNA (ENSHGLG00000038566.1)
Source: RNAcentral